RNAcentral lists this ribosomal RNA (469 nucleotides) under uncultured Acidobacteriota bacterium. RNAcentral describes it as "uncultured Acidobacteria bacterium partial 16S ribosomal RNA". Lineage: Bacteria; Pseudomonadati; Acidobacteriota. The record is from RNAcentral.
UUGUUACGACUUCACCCCAAUCAUGAGCUGUACCUUGGAAGGCUGCCUCCUUGCGGUUAGCACACCUGCUUCUAGUACGGCCCACUUUCGUGAUGUGACGGGCGGUGUGUACAAGGCCCGGGAGCGUAUUCACCGCGGCGUUCUGAUCCGCGAUUACUAGCGAUUCCAGCUUCAUGGAGUCGAGUUGCAGACUCCAAUCCGAACUGAGGCCGGCUUUUUCCGAUUAGCUCCCCCUCACGGGUUUGCGACGGUUUGUACCGACCAUUGUAGCACGUGUGUAGCCCUGGACAUAAAGGCCAUGAGGACUUGACGUCAUCCCCACCUUCCUCCUCGUUAUCCGAGGCAGUUUCACUAGAGUGCCCGGCUUGACCCGAUGGCAACUAGGGAUAAGGGUUGCGCUCGUUGCGGGACUUAACCCAACAUCUCACGACACGAGCUGACGACAGCCAUGCAGCACCUAUGCAGCAGC